This 449-nucleotide ribosomal RNA is filed under the name uncultured bacterium. RNAcentral describes it as "bacterial SSU rRNA". It matches the Rfam family "Bacterial small subunit ribosomal RNA", at positions 29 to 524 of the family's 1533-position model. The record is from RNAcentral.
AACGAACGCUGGCGGCAUGCCUAACACAUGCAAGUCGAACGAGACCUUCGGGUCUAGUGGCGCACGGGUGCGUAACGCGUGGGAACCUGCCUUUAGGUUCGGAAUAACUCAGAGAAAUUUGAGCUAAUACCGGAUAAUGUCUUCGGACCAAAGAUUUAUCGCCUUUAGAUGGGCCCGCGUUGGAUUAGCUAGUUGGUGGGGUAAAGGCCUACCAAGGCGACGAUCCAUAGCUGGUCUGAGAGGAUGAUCAGCCACACUGGGACUGAGACACGGCCCAGACUCCUACGGGAGGCAGCAGUGGGGAAUAUUGGACAAUGGGCGAAAGCCUGAUCCAGCAAUGCCGCGUGAGUGAUGAAGGCCUAGGUUGUAAAGCUCUUUUACCCGAGAUGAUAAUGACAGUAUCGGGAGAAUAAGACCCCGGCUAACUCCGUGCCAGCAGCCGCGGUAAU